GACGAACGCUGGCGGCGUGCUUAACACAUGCAAGUCGAACGGAAAGGCCCUGCUUUUGUGGGGUGCUCGAGUGGCGAACGGGUGAGUAACACGUGAGUAACCUGCCCUUGACUUUGGGAUAACUUCAGGAAACUGGGGCUAAUACCGGAUAGGAGCUCCUGCUGCAUGGUGGGGGUUGGAAAGUUUCGGCGGUUGGGGAUGGACUCGCAGCUUAUCAGCUUGUUGGUGGGGUAGUGGCUUACCAAGGCUUUGACGGGUAGCCGGCCUGAGAGGGUGACCGGCCACAUUGGGACUGAGAUACGGCCCAGACUCCUACGGGAGGCAGCAGUGGGGAAUAUUGCACAAUGGGCGGAAGCCUGAUGCAGCAACGCCGCGUGCGGGAUGACGGCCUUCGGGUUGUAAACCGCUUUCGCCUGUGACGAAGCGUGAGUGACGGUAAUGGGUAAAGAAGCACCGGCUAACUUCGUG
This 468-nucleotide ribosomal RNA is filed under the name uncultured bacterium. RNAcentral's name for it is "partial 16S ribosomal RNA". It matches the Rfam family "Bacterial small subunit ribosomal RNA", at positions 28 to 507 of the family's 1533-position model. The record is from RNAcentral.